RNAcentral lists this ribosomal RNA (492 nucleotides) under uncultured bacterium. Its description in RNAcentral is "partial 16S ribosomal RNA". It matches the Rfam family "Bacterial small subunit ribosomal RNA", at positions 29 to 507 of the family's 1533-position model. The record is from RNAcentral.
AGUGAACGCUGGCGGUAGGCCUAACACAUGCAAGUCGAACGGCAACACAGUAAGAGCUUGCUCUUACGGGUGGCGAGUGGCGGACGGGUCAGGAAUGUAACGGAACCUACUCUUUCGUGGGGGUUAAGGUAGGGAAACUUACGAUAAUACAGCAUACGCCCUAGGGUGGAAAGGGGGGGAUAUUCGCGCCUGGCGCGGUUGAAUGAGCGGAUGUUGGAUUUGCUGGUUGGGGGGGUAAAGGCCAAGCAAGGCGGCGAUCGGUGGCUGGUCUGAGUGGAUGAUAGGCGACAUUGGAACGGAGCCACGGUCCAGACUCCUACGGGAGGCAGCAGUGGGGAAUAUUGGACAAUGGGCGCAAGCCUGAUCCAGCCAUACCGCGUGGGUGAAGAAGGCCUUCGGGUUGUAAAGCCCUUUUGUUGGGAAAGAAAAGCAGCAGGUUAAUACCCCGCUGUUCUGACGGUACCCAAUGAAUAAGCACCGGCUAACUACGUG